Molecule: ribosomal RNA, 507 nt
Filed under: uncultured Glomus
Lineage: Eukaryota; Fungi; Glomeromycota; Glomeromycetes; Glomerales; Glomeraceae
Description: SSU rRNA
Rfam family: Eukaryotic small subunit ribosomal RNA
Source: RNAcentral
AGCAGCCGCGGUAAUUCCAGCUCCAAUAGCGUAUAUUAAAGUUGUUGCAGUUAAAAAGCUCGUAGUUGAACUUCGGAUCAAUGGAUCGGUCAUGCCAUCGGUAUGUACUGGUCUCAUUGGUUCUCACCUUCUAAGGAACCAUAAUGUCAUUCAUUUGAUGUUUUGGGGAAUUAGGACUGUUACCUUGAAAAAAUUAGAGUGUUUAAAGCAGGCUAACGCUUGAAUACAUUAGCAUGGAAUAAUGAAAUAGGACAUCGCAUUCUAUUUUGUUGGUUUCUAGGAUCGAUGUAAUGAUUAAUAGGGAUAGUUGGGGGCAUUAGUAUUCAAUUGUCAGAGGUGAAAUUCUUGGAUUUAUUGAAGACUAACUACUGCGAAAGCAUUUGCCAAGGAUGUUUUCAUUAAUCAAGAACGAAAGUUAGGGGAUCGAAGACGAUCAGAUACCGUCGUAGUCUUAACCAUAAACUAUGCCGACUAGGGAUCGGAUGAUGUUGAUUUUUUAAUGACUCA